This 1224-nucleotide ribosomal RNA is filed under the name Microbacterium gilvum. RNAcentral describes it as "bacterial SSU rRNA". It matches the Rfam family "Bacterial small subunit ribosomal RNA", at positions 55 to 1292 of the family's 1533-position model. The record is from RNAcentral. Lineage: Bacteria; Bacillati; Actinomycetota; Actinomycetes; Micrococcales; Microbacteriaceae.
AUGCAGUCGAACGAUGAAGCCCUGCUUGCGGGGUGGAUUAAUGGCGAACGGGUGAGUAACACGUGAGCGACCUGCCCCUGACUCUGGGAUAACAGCCGGAGACGGUUGCUAAUACCGGAUAUGCAUCAUACCCGCAUGGUUUGUGGUGGGAAAGAUUUUUCGGUUGGGGAUGGGCUCGCGGCCUAUCAGCUUGUUGGUGAGGUAGUGGCUCACCAAGGCGUCGACCGGUAGCCGGCCUGAGAGGGUGACCGGCCACACUGGGACUGAGACACGGCCCAGACUCCUACGGGAGGCAGCAGUGGGGAAUAUUGCACAAUGGGCGGAAGCCUGAUGCAGCAACGCCGCGUGAGGGAUGACGGCCUUCGGGUUGUAAACCUCUUUUAGCAGGGAAGAAGCGUGAGUGACGGUACCUGCAGAAAAAGCGCCGGCUAACUACRUGCCAGCAGCCGCGGUAAUACGUAGGGCGCAAGCGUUAUCCGGAAUUAUUGGGCGUAAAGAGCUCGUASGCGGUUUGUCGCGUCUGCUGUGAAAUCUGGAGGCUCAACCUCCAGCCUGCAGUGGGUACGGGCAGACUASAGUGCGGUAKGGGAGAUUGGAAUUCCUGGUGUAGCGGUGGAAUGCGCAGAUAUCAGGAGGAACACCGAUGGCKAAGGCAGAUCUCUGGGCCGUAACUGACGCUGAKGAGCGAAAGGGUGGGGAGCARACAGGCUUAGAUACCCUGGUAGUCCACCCCGUAMACGUUGGGAACUAGUUGUGGGGGCCUUUCCACGGUCUCCGUGACGCAKCUAACGCAUUAAGUUCCCCGCCUGGGGAGUACGGCCGCAAGGCUAAAACUCRAAGGAAUUGACGGGGACCCGCACAAGCGGCGGAGCAUGCGGAUUAAUUCGAUGCARCGCGAAGAACCUUACCAAGGCUUGACAUAUACGGGAACGCCGCAGAAAUGUGGUUCUCUUUGGAACUCGUAUACAGGUGGUGCAUGGUKGUCGUCAGCUCGUGUCGUGAGAUGUUGGGUUAAGUCCCGCAACGAGCGCAACCCUCGUUCUAUGUUGCCAGCACGUUAUGGUGGGAACUCAUGGGAUACUGCCGGGGUCAACUCGGAGGAAGGUGGGGAGGACGUCAAAUCAUCAUGCCCCCUAUGUGAUGGGCUUCACGCAUGCUACAACGGCCGGUACAAAGGGCAGAGAUACCGUGAGGGGGAGCGAAUCCCAAAAAGCCGGUCCCAGU